AUCUAUGGGUGACAUCACCGCCAUUGCUGGGUUCGGAGGCCAUCUGCAAAGUCGUUCCUGAUACCAACAGUAGGUGUUGAAAACAUGCCGUGGUGUUUUUGAAUUCAGAGUCUAGGUGGUCACCGCCAAUUGGUAAAAUUGGUAUGGAAAAAGAUACACUAGACUCUGUGUAGCCCUACCUAGAAGAAAGUUGACUUCAUGUGAAGUUAACAAUUUUAAAACCAGAAAAGAGGAAAAGUCUUUAAUGAUAUCCUCAUCUUUCAUCAAUCAAAUAAUUAUCUAUCUUCAGCAUUUCAAAUCGAAGCCAGUAUAGAGAAGGCAGAUUCUCACUGAGGAGUCUGGUAUUCCAUGGGGUGAUGAUCUGGCUUCUCCCUGGGACUCUCUUGUCCACCAGAGGAUUGACGGACAUUUUUGGCAAAGGACUAGAAAAGGUUGAAAAGCCAUCCUGUCCAGUUCCCUCACUGCCUACAAUUGGAUAAACAUGUGACUGAUCAGCACCUAAAGGAGGGCUAAGGAAUCUAUUCCCUGAUGGCCCUGGGUCCAACAUGAUGGAAGGAGAGAGCUGACUCUCCUAAAUUAUCCUCUGGACUCCCUGUAUGUGUCCAUAUAUAUACAUAUCCUGGCAGCAGGAAAUGAAAUGAGAACAGAAGUUGGUCCCGUGAAUGAUCUGUUGCUAUGAUAAACCUGUUCAUGUGGCUUUUAAACCACUGGUACUGUUUUUAUCGGAAGAAUAUGGAGAACUUUGGUACAUUAGGCUAGUAAAGUCACUGAAUGCUGGG
RNAcentral lists this long non-coding RNA (779 nucleotides) under Mus musculus (house mouse). RNAcentral's name for it is "predicted gene, 47253". The record is from RNAcentral. Lineage: Eukaryota; Metazoa; Chordata; Mammalia; Rodentia; Muridae.